AAAAAAAAGCCUGGCUUUCCCAUGUACGCCGGUAGUGAAGAAUUCUUCACCACAACUGAGAUCGUCCUAGUACGCAAAACCAUACCUCGUACCAACAAAGUCACAAACAAACAUCAUCAAACAAAUGAAAAUGAUUCUUUGCAAAAUCUAACAUGUACUUGUUAUUCUUCUUGCUCUUCUUGUCCAUGA
Non-coding RNA from Vicia faba (fava bean), 189 nucleotides. The record is from the annotation of a GenBank genome assembly. Lineage: Eukaryota; Viridiplantae; Streptophyta; Magnoliopsida; Fabales; Fabaceae.